AACUCUUAUUCAUUGAGGGAAUAGCCCGUUUCCUGAAAUAUUUCCUUUGAGCAAGUCUCCCUACAUUUUUGUUUAGGUUCUCGAGAUUCUCAAUCGCUUUUAAGUGAUUAACAAACAAUUCAAUACAAAACAUAUUUCCUUGUUUAUUGUGAUAUUAGGAACCUCAAAGUUUUAACCCUGGACAGGGCGGUCAGGGCAGUCGACCGCUGCCGCCCUAUCUAACCCUCGUCGGAAACAACCCCACUUUCAAGUCAUUCACAACUCAAACCUUGUCACUUUUUGCGGGGAGUAGUUUAUUUUGUUUGUAGAAGUCAAAAAAUAGUGCUGGUUCUUUAAAUUUGGGGCUCAAGGUGGUAACCGGGAGCAGUCUUUUAUUUUGGAGAUUGGGUGGCGUAUCAUGAGCCCCAAAGGAAUUCCUUAUUAAGCUAGAUGUUCAAUGUUUAUUGGGCCAAUCGCUUUUGCUCGAAAAAGGCCCACCUAACCACAUUAAAGGCCUGCUCAUGGGGGUUAAUUAGGAGCGGAGGUGCACGAAAAACUGCCCAAGAUUAUUAGAGAAGACCCAAAUUUUGUUAUAAAACGGUUGCUCUUGUGGAUGCGGUUUUGGGCUGCCCAUGUCUUUGUCCUGUUAGCUUGUCACUAUAUUGGAUCAUGAAGAUGGUCUUUGGGAAGCUGAGCAUGGGAUUUUGAAGGCUCGUGGUCAUUGUGUUUGUUCAUUUAGGUACUUAAAAUCAUGUUUAGCGGUUUCCAAAGCAUGUUUUGUGUGUUCCGACUAUAGGUUGCUUCGGGGUAUGCCCCUUUGAUCUUGUAACAAUAUUUUCAUUCAUACUAUUUUCCGGGUAAAAGCUCACUUACAUAAAGAAACAUCUUUCACUAGUUA
This is a long non-coding RNA of Helianthus annuus (common sunflower), 877 nucleotides long. RefSeq lists it as uncharacterized. The record is from RefSeq and is a predicted model, not a curated record. The transcript has 2 exons. NCBI's taxonomy places the organism in Eukaryota, Viridiplantae, Streptophyta, Magnoliopsida, Asterales, Asteraceae.